This 807-nucleotide ribosomal RNA is filed under the name Fusarium sp. BCCM/IHEM 18378. RNAcentral describes it as "eukaryotic LSU rRNA". It matches the Rfam family "Eukaryotic large subunit ribosomal RNA", at positions 82 to 919 of the family's 3401-position model. The record is from RNAcentral. Lineage: Eukaryota; Fungi; Ascomycota; Sordariomycetes; Hypocreales; Nectriaceae.
AGUAACGGCGAGUGAAGCGGCAACAGCUCAAAUUUGAAAUCUGGCUCUCGGGCCCGAGUUGUAAUUUGUAGAGGAUACUUUUGAUGCGGUGCCUUCCGAGUUCCCUGGAACGGGACGCCAUAGAGGGUGAGAGCCCCGUCUGGUUGGAUGCCAAAUCUCUGUAAAGUUCCUUCGACGAGUCGAGUAGUUUGGGAAUGCUGCUCUAAAUGGGAGGUAUAUGUCUUCUAAAGCUAAAUACCGGCCAGAGACCGAUAGCGCACAAGUAGAGUGAUCGAAAGAUGAAAAGCACUUUGAAAAGAGAGUUAAAAAGUACGUGAAAUUGUUGAAAGGGAAGCGUUUAUGACCAGACUUGGGCUUGGUUGAUCAUCUGGGGUUCUCCCCAGUGCACUCUUCCAGUCCAGGCCAGCAUCAGUUUUCGCCGGGGGAUAAAGACUUCGGGAAUGUGGCUCUCUCCGGGGAGUGUUAUAGCCCGUUGUGUAAUACCCUGGCGGGGACUGAGGUUCGCGCAUCUGCAAGGAUGCUGGCGUAAUGGUCAUCAACGACCCGUCUUGAAACACGGACCAAGGAGUCGUCUUCGUAUGCGAGUGUUCGGGUGUCAAACCCCUACGCGUAAUGAAAGUGAACGCAGGUGAGAGCUUCGGCGCAUCAUCGACCGAUCCUGAUGUUCUCGGAUGGAUUUGAGUAAGAGCAUACGGGGCCGGACCCGAAAGAAGGUGAACUAUGCCUGUAUAGGGUGAAGCCAGAGGAAACUCUGGUGGAGGCUCGCAGCGGUUCUGACGUGCAAAUCGAUCGUCAAAUAUGGGCAUG